This 465-nucleotide ribosomal RNA is filed under the name uncultured bacterium. RNAcentral's name for it is "partial 16S ribosomal RNA". It matches the Rfam family "Bacterial small subunit ribosomal RNA", at positions 28 to 507 of the family's 1533-position model. The record is from RNAcentral.
GACGAACGCUGGCGGCGUGCUUAACACAUGCAAGUCGAACGGAAAGGCCCCUUUGGGGGUACUCGAGUGGCGAACGGGUGAGUAACACGUGAGUAACCUGCCCUUGACUUCGGGAUAACUUCAGGAAACUGGGGCUAAUACCGGAUAGGAAUCCUUGCUGCAUGGUGGGGGUUGGAAAGCUUCGGCGGUUUUGGAUGGACUCGCGGCUUAUCAGCUUGUUGGUGGGGUAGUGGCUUACCAAGGCUUUGACGGGUAGCCGGCCUGAGAGGGCGACCGGCCACAUUGGGACUGAGAUACGGCCCAGACUCCUACGGGAGGCAGCAGUGGGGAAUAUUGCACAAUGGGCGGAAGCCUGAUGCAGCAACGCCGCGUGCGGGAUGACGGCCUUCGGGUUGUAAACCGCUUUCAGUAGGGGCGAAGCUUGUGGUGACGGUACCUGCAGAAGAAGCACCGGCUAACUACGUG